CCUCGUCGAUCUGCUGCGGGCAGAUGAAGUGGAUGUGCGUGUCGAUGCCGCCCGCGGUGACGAUCAUGCCCUCGCCGGCAAUGAUCUCCGUGCCCGGCCCGAUGAUGAUGUUGAUGCCCGGCUGGAUGUCCGGGUUGCCCGCCUUGCCGAUGGCCGCGAUGCGCCCAUGCUUCAGGCCGAUGUCCGCCUUCACGAUGCCGGUGAUGGCGUCGAUGAUCAGCGCGUUGGUGAUGACGGUGUCUGCGCAGUCCUUGCUUGCGCGCUGGCUCUGGCCCAUGCCGUCGCGGA
RNAcentral lists this small RNA (288 nucleotides) under beta proteobacterium AAP99. RNAcentral's name for it is "5' ureB small RNA". It matches the Rfam family "5' ureB small RNA". Lineage: Bacteria; Pseudomonadati; Pseudomonadota; Betaproteobacteria. The record is from Rfam by way of RNAcentral.